AUUGAACGCUGGCGGCAGGCCUAACACAUGCCAGUCGAACGGUAACAGGAAACAGCUUGCUGUUUCGCUGACGAGUGGCGGACGGGUGAGUAAUGUCUGGGAAACUGCCUGAUGGAGGGGGAUAACUACUGGAAACGGUAGCUAAUACCGCAUAACGUCGCAAGACCAAAGAGGGGGACCUUCGGGCCUCUUGCCAUCAGAUGUGCCCAGAUGGGAUUAGCUAGUAGGUGGGGUAACGGCUCCCCUAGGCGACGAUCCCUAGCUGGUCUGAGAGGAUGACCAGCCACACUGGAACUGAGACACGGUCCAGACUCCUGCGGGAGGCAGCAGUGGGGAAUAUUGCACAAUGGGCGCAAGCCUGAUGCAGCCAUGCCGCGUGUAUGAAGAAGGCCUUCGGGUUGUAAAGUACUUUCAGCGGGGAGGAAGGGAGUAAAGUUAAUACCUUUGCUCAUUGACGUUACCCGCAGAAGAAGCACCGGCUAACUCCGUG
This 490-nucleotide ribosomal RNA is filed under the name uncultured bacterium. RNAcentral describes it as "partial 16S ribosomal RNA". It matches the Rfam family "Bacterial small subunit ribosomal RNA", at positions 30 to 507 of the family's 1533-position model. The record is from RNAcentral.